GACGGAGGGUGCUAGCGUUGUUCGGAUUUACUGGGCGUAAAGGGCGCGUAGGCGGCGCGGUAAGUCACUUGUGAAAUCUCUGAGCUUAACUCAGAACGGCCAAGUGAUACUGCAGUGCUAGAGUGUGGAAGGGGCAAUCGGAAUUCUUGGUGUAGCGGUGAAAUGCGUAGAUAUCAAGAGGAACACCUGAGGUGAAGACGGGUUGCUGGGCCAACACUGACGCUGAUGCGCGAAAGCCAGGGGAGCAAACGGG
This 253-nucleotide ribosomal RNA is filed under the name uncultured bacterium. Its description in RNAcentral is "partial 16S ribosomal RNA". It matches the Rfam family "Bacterial small subunit ribosomal RNA", at positions 524 to 776 of the family's 1533-position model. The record is from RNAcentral.